AUCCAGCUGACGAUUCUCAAAUAGGACGAAAUGAGCAUCCUGGAU
This 45-nucleotide non-coding RNA is filed under the name Trichobilharzia regenti. The record is from RNAcentral. Lineage: Eukaryota; Metazoa; Platyhelminthes; Trematoda; Strigeidida; Schistosomatidae.